RNAcentral lists this non-coding RNA (765 nucleotides) under Brucella intermedia 229E. Its description in RNAcentral is "Ochrobactrum intermedium 229E Bacterial large subunit ribosomal RNA". It matches the Rfam family "Bacterial large subunit ribosomal RNA", at positions 1980 to 2729 of the family's 2925-position model. Lineage: Bacteria; Pseudomonadati; Pseudomonadota; Alphaproteobacteria; Hyphomicrobiales; Brucellaceae. The record is from Rfam by way of RNAcentral.
GUUCCGACCUGCACGAAUGGCGUAACGACUUCCCCGCUGUCUCCAACGCAGACUCAGUGAAAUUGAAUUCCCCGUGAAGAUGCGGGGGGGUUCCUGCGGUUAGACGGAAAGACCCCGUGCACCUUUACUAUAGCUUUACACUGGCAUUCGUGUCGGCAUGUGUAGGAUAGGUGGUAGACUUUGAAGCAGUGGCGCCAGCCAUUGUGGAGUCAUCCUUGAAAUACCACCCUUGCCUAUAUGGAUGUCUAACUGCGGCCCGUUAUCCGGGUCCAGGACCGUGUAUGGUGGGUAGUUUGACUGGGGGGGCGGUCGCCUCCUAAAGAGUAACGGAGGCGCGCGAUGGUAGGCUCAGAACGGUCGGAAAUCGUUCGUCGAGUGCAAUGGCAUAAGCCUGCCUGACUGCAAGACUGACAAGUCGAGCAGAGACGAAAGUCGGUCAUAGUGAUCCGGUGGUCCCGCGUGGAAGGGCCAUCGCUCAACGGAUAAAAGGUACGCCGGGGGGGAUAACAGGCUGAUGACCCCCAAGAGUCCAUAUCGACGGGGGGGUUGUUUGGCACCUCGAUGUCGACUCAUCGCAUCCUGGGGGGGCUGGAGCAGGUCCCAAGGGUAUGGCUGUUCGCCAUUUAAAGCGGUACGUGAGUUGGGUUCAGAACGUCGUGAGACAGUUCGGUCCCUAUCUGCCGUGGGUGUAGGAAUAUUGACAGGAUCUGUCCCUAGUACGAGAGGACCGGGAUGGACGUAUCUCUGGUGGACCUGUUGUCGUGC